GGGCGAAAGCCUGAUGCAGCAACGCCGCGUGAGCGAUGAAGGCCUUCGGGUUGUAAAGCUCUGUCUUCGCUGACGAAGAAUGACGGUAAGCGAGGAGGCAGCCACGGCUAACUACGUGCCAGCAGCCGCGGUAAUACGUAGGUGGCAAGCGUUGUCCGGAAUUACUGGGCGUAAAGAAUGCGUAGGCGGCUUUUUAAGUGGGAUGUGAAAUCCCUGGGCUGAACCCAGGAACUGCAUUCCAAACUGGAAAGCUAGAGUGCGGGAGAGGAAAUUGGUAUUCCCAGUGUAGCGGUGAAAUGCGUAGAGAUUGGGAGGAACACCAGUAGCGAAGGCGAAUUUCUGGAACGUAACUGACGCUGAGGCAUGAAAGCGUGGGGAGCAAACAGGAUUAGAUACCCUGGUAGUCCACGCCGUAAACGAUGAGUACUAGGUGUAGGGGGGUACCACCCCCUGUGCCGCAGUUAACACAUUAAGUACUCCGCCUGGGAAGUA
This 492-nucleotide ribosomal RNA is filed under the name uncultured bacterium. Its description in RNAcentral is "bacterial SSU rRNA". It matches the Rfam family "Bacterial small subunit ribosomal RNA", at positions 373 to 882 of the family's 1533-position model. The record is from RNAcentral.